UGUGGCAUGUCACAAAGGAAAAAUUCACUUGAGUAACAUAGUCCUUUCAAACGAAAGGAAAUACCAACCAAACAUAUGUGGAUUAUCAGAGGCUUGAAGAGUCCAUGAGCUAGCCACCUAACUUCAUAGGUUUUAUGUGCCUUUGCAUUGUUCUUUAAUGCAUUACAUCGAUGUGAAUGCAGUAACGUACAGUAACGCGUCAGAAGUAAAAACUAAAAACUAGCGAUUACAUAAGAAUUCAAUUCGUAAAUUAUCAACAGCGUAGCAAUUUCUACAAGUGCUCAGUGAAUAUUAAGCAACAACAUAAUAUAAGCAGUCGUCGUUAAGGAUACUUGAUAAAAUGAAUAUUGAAAAGGGCGCAAUAGGGCACGGAAAUAUGCAAAAUAUAGGUUUUGAGUCUCUUGAGGAUAAAGAAAUUAUUCUAAAAUUAUUGAAGAAAUAUGGUAAUUACCUGAAUACCUCCAAAACGGAAACUCAUGAGAGGUAUAAAUUUUUCUCAAGGACAAUGAACGACAAUGAAAGCAUUGAAGAUUUCAUUGCUGAUUUACGACAAAAAGCCAAAACAUGCAAUUUUCAAUCUCUUGCGGACAAUUUUGUCCGGGAUAAAAUUAUUUUCGAUACCAAAGACGAAAUAUUACGACAGUUUUUAUUGGAUACAGAAGAUAUUGAUUUGGAAAAAAUUAUAACAAUUUACAAAAUUUAUGAAAAGACAAGGGGAAAAAUGAAUGAAGUUUGCAAAGACAAAGUAAUUCAAGGCAGAAAUACAAAUAUUACUCCAGCAAUAAAAAGUGCACAAAUAACAUGUUCAAAUUGCGGCACUCAUCACGUUUACGGUAACUGCCCUGCGUUUCAUUCGAGAUGUAUGAAAUGCAAUGGACUUCGGCAUUACACCAAAAUGUGUAAUAGACAUUGGGCACGUAAAAAUUACAAACGCAAUAAGUCUGGCAGCAAUGCUGGUGGUCCAUUCUCGCAAAUUAAAAAGAACAGGAAGGUAAUGAGUGGUGGAGAAUCUUCAAACGAAUAUUUAUAUCGUUUGUCUUUGAUUGUAUUCGCGUUAACAAUAAAUAUUUUGUUGGUGAUAAUGCAGGGGAUAAAAUUUGGACUACCUCAAAUAAAAAACAAGAGUAUUUACCGGGCGAUCGAUUCCCACAUCGUAUACCACCACCAAAAUACACAGAACAUCCUGUUCCAACAAAAGCUUACAAUUCUGGAUCUGUAGAGCCAUCUACUAGUCAGGAAAAACCUGUGUACAACUUGCAGAAUAAUGUUAUAGAAACUUCUAAUAAUAUAUAUGCAACAUCUCAAUCUUCCAGUAAGACAACACAUCUUCCGAGAUCUAUGCAAAACGCAUCUACUGUACGUUCUGGUACAAAGUCAACACCAUCUUCAGUUUCUGAUAAUGCUGCGGCAAGAAAGAAUGCGCAAAUGGAAGGAUCACGAAAUGUUAAUCUUCGUCGUACGAAAUCAUCGUCUAGUGUCAAAAGCUUUCCAGUACGUAAUAACAGAGAAGCAGAUGACGACUUUGCAGUCAAAUGCUGCAGUUGCUUCAUAUGUUGAAAAUCAUGCAGACACUAG
Cephus cinctus (wheat stem sawfly) is the source of this 1575-nucleotide RNA transcript. RefSeq lists it as uncharacterized. The transcript is spliced from 11 exons. The record is from RefSeq and is a predicted model, not a curated record. Lineage: Eukaryota; Metazoa; Arthropoda; Insecta; Hymenoptera; Cephidae.